RNAcentral lists this ribosomal RNA (253 nucleotides) under uncultured bacterium. RNAcentral's name for it is "partial 16S ribosomal RNA". It matches the Rfam family "Bacterial small subunit ribosomal RNA", at positions 524 to 776 of the family's 1533-position model. The record is from RNAcentral.
UACGUAGGGUGCAAGCGUUAAUCGGAAUUACUGGGCGUAAAGCGUGCGCAGGCGGUUUUGUAAGUCUGUUGUGAAAUCCCCGGGCUUAACCUGGGAAUUGCGAUGGAGACUGCAAGGCUAGAAUCUGGCAGAGGGGGGUAGAAUUCCACGUGUAGCAGUGAAAUGCGUAGAGAUGUGGAGGAACACCGAUGGCGAAGGCAGCCCCCUGGGUCAAGAUUGACGCUCAUGCACGAAAGCGUGGGGAGCAAACAGG